This 253-nucleotide ribosomal RNA is filed under the name uncultured bacterium. Its description in RNAcentral is "partial 16S ribosomal RNA". It matches the Rfam family "Bacterial small subunit ribosomal RNA", at positions 524 to 776 of the family's 1533-position model. The record is from RNAcentral.
UACAGAGGGUGCGAGCGUUAAUCGGAAUUACUGGGCGUAAAGCGUGCGCAGACGGUCACGUAAGUCGGGUGUGAAAGCCCCGGGCUCAACCUGGGAAUUGCAUUCGAGACUGCGUAGCUAGGGUGCGGAAGAGGGAAGCGGAAUUUCCGGUGUAGCGGUGAAAUGCGUAGAUAUCGGAAGGAACACCAGUGGCGAAAGCGGCUUCCUGGUCCAGCACCGACGUUCAGGCACGAAAGCGUGGGGAGCAAACAGG